UGGGGAAUAUUGCGCAAUGGGCGAAAGCCUGACGCAGCAACGCCGCGUGAGUGAUGAAGGCCUUCGGGUCGUAAAGCUCUUUUGGCGGGGAAGAUAAUGACGGUACCCGCAGAAUAAGCUCCGGCUAACUUCGUGCCAGCAGCCGCGGUAAUACGAAGGGAGCUAGCGUUGUUCGGAAUCACUGGGCGUAAAGCGCACGUAGGUGGGCAGUUAAGUCAGGGGUGAAAGCCCGAGGCUCAACCUCGGAAUUGCCUCUGAUACUGGCUGUCUAGAGUCCGAGAGAGGUGGGUGGAAUUCCUAGUGUAGAGGUGAAAUUCGUAGAUAUUAGGAAGAACACCGGUGGCGAAGGCGGCCCACUGGCUCGGUACUGACACUGAGGUGCGAAAGCGUGGGGAGCAAACAGGAUUAGAUACCCACGUAGUCCCUGAGCGGGCUGGCAAGGCGCAU
RNAcentral lists this ribosomal RNA (447 nucleotides) under uncultured bacterium. Its description in RNAcentral is "bacterial SSU rRNA". It matches the Rfam family "Bacterial small subunit ribosomal RNA", at positions 355 to 825 of the family's 1533-position model. The record is from RNAcentral.